RNAcentral lists this ribosomal RNA (454 nucleotides) under uncultured bacterium. RNAcentral describes it as "partial 16S ribosomal RNA". It matches the Rfam family "Bacterial small subunit ribosomal RNA", at positions 28 to 507 of the family's 1533-position model. The record is from RNAcentral.
GAUGAACGCUGACAGAAUGCUUAACACAUGCAAGUCAACUUGAACUUCGGUUUGGGUGGCGGACGGGUGAGUAACGCGUAAAGAACUUGCCUCACAGUUAGGGACAACAUUUGGAAACGAAUGCUAAUACCUGAUAUUAUGAUUUUAGGGCAUCCUAGAAUUAUGAAAGCUAUAUGCGCUGUGAGAGAGCUUUGCGUCCCAUUAGCUAGUUGGAGAGGUAACGGCUCACCAAGGCGAUGAUGGGUAGCCGGCCUGAGAGGGUGAACGGCCACAAGGGGACUGAGACACGGCCCUUACUCCUACGGGAGGCAGCAGUGGGGAAUAUUGGACAAUGGACCAAGAAUCUGAUCCAGCAAUUCUGUGUGCACGAUGAAGUUUUUCGGAAUGUAAAGUGCUUUCAGUUGGGAAGAAAAAAAUGACGAUACCAACAGAAGAAGUGACGGCUAAAUACGUG